UAACGGGUUGCUCCAGUGAGGAAUAUUGCACAAUGGGGGGAACCCUGAUGCAGCAACGCCGCGUGGAGGAUGACGCAUUUCGGUGUGUAAACUCCUUUUAUAUGUCAAGAAAAUGACGGUAGCAUAUGAAUAAGCACCGGCUAACUCCGUGCCAGCAGCCGCGGUAAUAGGGAGGGUGCAAGCGUUACUCGGAAUCACUGGGCGUAAAGGACGCGUAGGCGGGUUGGAAAGUCAGGUGUGAAAUCCUACAGCUUAACUGUAGAACUGCACUUGAAACUUCUAAUCUAGAGUAUGGGAGGGGGAGAUGGAAUUAGUGGUGUAGGGGUAAAAUCCGUAGAUAUCACUAGGAAUACCUAAAGCGAAGGCGAUCUCCUGGAACAUUACUGACGCUAAGGCGUGAAAGCGUGGGGAGCAAACAGGAUUAGAUACCCUGGUAGUC
Molecule: ribosomal RNA, 439 nt
Filed under: uncultured bacterium
Lineage: Bacteria
Description: partial 16S ribosomal RNA
Rfam family: Bacterial small subunit ribosomal RNA
Source: RNAcentral